CACGUGCAUCCAACACCUUAAGUAGCUUGAAAUCUGAAAUACUAUCAGGCCAGUGAUUUAUUUCAGGUACUAGAUAAGAUUUACCAGCUCCCAUAAAGAUCAAGCUGCGGGUUGUAAUCUUACCACUCAUUUGACUUGGAUGAUUGCAAAAAUAAUCCUCAAUGAGAAAAGGAAUCAUCACACGCCUACGAUCAUUUAUGUCAUCUGAGUAAGCGGGAACAAGAUCACUGUAAGGAAAAUGCACAACAUUUUCACUUUGAGCUUCUCUUAUGCACAACUGCCUAAGAAGAUCAUGGAUUUUGCAAGUUUUGAAUCUUCCAUUAGGCUUUCGUGUUUUACCCAAAAUUAGACUCCUAUCCAUCAACUCUUGCACAUACUCCUCUGCCACAACUUCUAACCUUUUAUCGCUUGUUGCCUUUAUGAAUUGCUCAGCUAUCCAUGAGCUCAUCAUCUUCGAUACACGAAUCUCCAUAUCUUCAGGAAAACCUCCAAUAUAGAGAAAGCACGCCUUCAAGUAUGGGGGCAAGUAAUCGUAGCUCAAAGAAAGAAUUGCUUGACACUGUUCUAAAACCGAACCAUGAAAUGAGUUCAAAUUUUCCUCAAUUUUCUUCCAAUUAUCAUAUGUCACACCUAUCUUGCCAAGAAGUCCAGCAAUGACAAUAAUCGAGAGAGGUAAUCCUUGACAUUGUUGUAUGAUAUGCUUACCUAUUUUUCGUAGUUGUGGAGGACAACGAUCUUUUUUGAAUAGUCUUUUGGUAAAUAGUUUCCAACUAUCUUUAAAACUUAGAAAAGACACAUCAUGAGGAGGAAAAUCAGGGGAGCUUGCAUAAUCAGCAACAUGUUUGAGACGAGUGGUUAGUAUAAUUCGGCUUUUAUUGUUAUUAUUUUGAAAUAUUCUUCGCAUUUGGUCCCAAGCAUCAGUACUCCAAAGAUCAUCUAUGACAAUUAGAAAUCUCCUACCCUUGAGACUCCUAUACACAAUAACCAUCAAUUCAUCAUUGCUCAUUUCUUGAUUGUUGACUCCACUAAUUGAAGAAGCAACUUCAAGAAGCAUUUGUCUCUUAUUAUAUUGUUCAGAUAUGGUGACCCAUGCAUGUUUCUCAAAUCGAUCACGAAUAGUUGAGUUACCAAAAACUUUUCUAGCAAGAGUUGUCUUACCUAUACCGCCCAUACCAACAAGUGAUAUGACUAUUAGCUCUUUUGCUUGGGCAUUGAGGCAAUUCAGUAUGGCUUUGUAGUCUUUUUUCAUACCAACAUAAGUCGUUUCCUCGAUUGAUGAGAAAGAAGUUGUUGCUGCUAACUCCGUUGAUUUGCUUCCACGCUUGUUGCACUCGAUCACCAUCACCUCUUUCCUGAGAGAAUCAAAUUCUGUUUCAACUUGUUGUAAUUCUUCAUUGAAGAAUUUACAAGCUUUUUCUCGGUCGUCUUCAUUAUCUGCUAGAAGUAUGCUUGUUAAGCAUGAAUCAACUCUAUCUUCUGCUUUGUAGACUACAUCUUUGAUCUUUUUCUCUAAAAUCUUGAGAUUUUCAAUAUCAUUGGCUUCAUUUGUGGUAUCCUCUAGAAAAACCUGAAGAGAACAUAGACUUUGAUAAGAAGAUUCAACAUGUUGUUGUAUAGAACUUUCACAAAUCAAAGGUGAUUUAGCUUGCAGGAGUUGCUGCAGAGUUUGCAUAAGUGAGGAAAUACAAGCAUAGGCCAUUUUCUCUCUCUAGGUUUUGUUAGUCAAAAGUAUAUGAAAGCAUGAAUAAUGAAGCACAUAAAUAAAAUCAAUUACUACUUGCUACUUUUCUUAUAAAAUCAUUUUUUCAUCACCAAACAAAACAGGUUGUGGUGUAGUGGAGGGAGUUGCUCUUACCUUGUAAAAAAAUUCUUGAUAGGGAGCGUUUCCCCACGAAUGGGACCCUAUGCAGCGCGAAUUAGGAAUAGUUGGACUUCAUUGCGAGUACCAGAGACACAGACACUGGGUGGGAAGUAAAAAAUGAAAACUCAUCUAGGGUGUUUUUUGUAUGAAGGAAAAUAUUUUUUCUAGAAAAACUUUAUUGAAAAAACAACUAGUUUCUUACCUAUUUUCUAGUUUCAGUAAGUAAACAAGAAAAUAGUGUUUCUAUAAUAUUGGUAUGUAAUUUAGAAAAAACACUAUAGAGGUUGGAUGGGGUGGGGACGGGAUGGGAGGGGAGUGAGAUUCGGGUGGUGAGGGCAUUGGAUGGUAAGGAGAAGACAAUUUGUUAUUACUACUUUCAUUGAGAAAGAAAAAUUUCUCUAAACAUUUCGACCAGUUGAAAAGGAAAAAAUUUAAUAACACUUGGAAAAUAUUUUUCUGCUUACCAAACACACUCAAAUGUAAUGUUGCUUUCUUUAAUAAAUAAAGUUGGUGGAUUGACAACUGGUUUGUUGACAAAUGCACUAAUUUCUCUUCAAUAAACCUUUAGGUUCACACUCACACUCACAAUGUUCUGAAUAGUCUAAAGCACACAAACUUUGACUGAUUCAAAUUAAUGGUACCAUUUAUGUGGUGUAGUAACGUAUUAUUAGCAUUUUUUUUCUUAGAUAAACUUUAUUAAGUAGUAGUUGACAUUUGAAUUAAUAAAGAAAGUAAUUGUCAUUUUGUGGCUAAUAAACAAAGCUGCAUACUGUACUCAUGGUAAAGACCCCGAUUUUUUCAAAGAUAAGAGAUGUCAUUGCUAGUAUGUUGUGUAAAGGCAGUACAGUUUAGUUUUGGUCGAGUCAAGGGACCUGACCUGGUCGGUCUUGUGGUAUUGGGACUGAUGAUAGGGGGAAUGAACGAAACCAAGGGUCGAAAGUUGAAGAGGCUGAAUAUUAGUUUGUCAUCAUCAAAAAGGGGGGAAUUGUUAUUUUAACCUAUGUCUGAAGUUGAUUAAACAAACUUUGAACCUGAUCCCUGACGAAAGUGUGAAUUCCCUACUGGAAAACUAAAGCUGUCUAAAAGCCUGCAAAACCUGCUAUGGUUGAUGCCCGGCUCCCAUGGUACAUCAGGCCCUCAACCAAUGAAAUCGCUUUGUAUGUUUGCACUCAUCAUCCUAUAAUAUGUCCACUCUCCACUACUAUCACAAACAAGUUUUUGCAACAUAGAUUUCUCACAUAAAGCAAAAGCAUCUCUCAGCGAAAUGUUGCUCCAGAACGGGCGAAGGACCUGAUAGAGUUAUCGUUGUUCUUAGUUGUUGCUAGGGUUUAUAUUUCAAUGGUUAAUAUUCUUGUAUGAUCUAUUCCCAAGUAAUAAAGAAAGUAGAUCAGUUUUCAUAUUAGAACACAACAACGAUUAGCUAGAGUUAGCUAUGUUGGGUUCUUGAAGUCUAGAUUGACUAGAGUUAGUUGGUUUAGUGGACAAUAGAUUAUUGCUAAGUAGUUACUGGUAGUAGAGUGGCUACAGUAAGGGGGAAGGGAUUAAAGAGUUUUAAUUCCUAGAUUACAAGAGUUUGUAAUCUGUUCCCCCGAAUGCAUCUUUUGCUUUGAGCAGCUCGAGAUUAGGCAGGAAGGGAGGGCAAGUGUUUUCAAGUUAUUGAGAAACAAAGAUUGUUGUUCUCGACUUUCUGCUUCAAGAGGAUUAGACAUAUGUAUUGACAAUCCAAUAUCAACAUGUCUCUGCUUAGAUUUCAGUCAUAAUUCUGUUGUUCUAUUGUAUGCAUAAGGGAAGAAAGAGAAGCAUAAGUCAUUUUCUCUGAGCUUAGAUUUCAGUCAUAAUUCUGUUAUCACGAGACAAAAUUUGAGUAUUUAUUUUUUAACCAGGUCCUGGAAAAGAACCAACCUAGCUCAACAACAGGCUGAUAAUCUGCUUCAAAUAUUGCAUCUUUAGAAUUUGAGGAUUGAGCUUCUUGAGAGAUUGCAUUGUGAUUGAAUGAUGGAUUUCAAUUCUAUUAUCAAUUUUUGGAGGAUGUUUUGGCAUUAAACUUUCAACUAUGGGACUUCUUACCUUUAGAAUAGUAUAGAUAGAUAGAUAAGAGUUCACAAAUAGGUGAAAACAAGAAAUGAAAGAAAACAGAAAACAUUACAUGUAUUGUAAAGAUGGUACAAUUAUAAUUUGAAGCUCAUAAUUUCCCCAGCUUUGUUGAUCUUCUAGAAUAUUCCUUGCACUAUCAUCGACUGUAGGACUGCAAUAUUUCACUUGGACUAAUUUUAGUGUCAUUAUUUCUCCAAAACUUUGUGGAAUAUCCUCUAGUUCUUCGAGAUGCUGAAGGACUAGUUGCUCAAGCAUCGGGAAACUAUCACUAGCUGCUUCCCACAUUUCCAGAUCAUCUGCCCUCUUAAUUCGUAGAUAUUUUAGUUUUUGAAACACAACAUCUUCAUUUAGAUCCCAAUCUGUUCCCGUGAAUGCAUGAUCUGCUUUGAGCACCUCAAGAUUGGGUAAAUUAGCCAGCACAGCCAUAUCUUCCCAAGGCAAUGAAGUUUCAGCUAAUCUCAAAUGCUUUAGAUUAGGCGCGCAAAAAGCACUAGACAGAAUGCGCGGACUGUUGUCUUCUGUUGCUGUUAUACUUAGCUUUUCCAGCCUCUGUAGAUUAAUGAGACAAUCAACAAAAUCAGACCACUCAUUAUGUGUAUUAGCAGCUCUAAUCUUCAGCUUAUCUACAUUGGGUGUUCUCUUUAGGAUUUCUGCCAAAAAAGGCGAGGAAUCGAGAGCAAGUGUUUGCAAGUUAUUCAGAAACAAAGGUUGUUGCUCUUCAAUACUAAGAGGAUUAGGCAUAUCCAUUUGUUCAAUAAUCACAUGUUUUAUCUCUGACAUUGUCCAAAUCUCCACCGGGAGCUGCACAAUAUUUAUCCUUGAAUAAAUAAUUAUGGUCUGUAGAUUGCACAACUUGGCUAGUGAAGAAGGAUCCUGAAUUCUUGCAUCAACAUACCUCAAAUGAACAAGUUGAGGUAUAAUAUGAGAGAAAUCGUAGCCAAUUUCACGUGCAUCCAACACCUUAAGUAGCUUGAAAUCUGAAAUACUAUCAGGCCAGUGAUUUAUUUCAGGUACUAGAUAAGAUCUACCAGCUCCCAUAAAGAUCAAGCUGCGGGUUGUAAUCUUACCACUCAUUUGACUUGGAUGAUCGCAAAAAUAAUCCUCAAUCAGAAAAGGAAUCAUCACACGCCUACGAUCAUUUAUGUCAU
This 5103-nucleotide long non-coding RNA is filed under the name Solanum tuberosum (potato). RNAcentral's name for it is "long non-coding RNA (STUB_LNC005375)". The record is from RNAcentral. Lineage: Eukaryota; Viridiplantae; Streptophyta; Magnoliopsida; Solanales; Solanaceae.